Molecule: ribosomal RNA, 389 nt
Filed under: uncultured bacterium
Lineage: Bacteria
Description: bacterial SSU rRNA
Rfam family: Bacterial small subunit ribosomal RNA
Source: RNAcentral
AUUGAACGCUGGCGGCAUGCUUUACACAUGCAAGUCGAGCGGCAGCAAGCCUUCGGGCGUUGGCGAGCGGCGGACGGGUGAGUAAUGCAUAGGAAUCUGCCUGGUAGUGGGGGGAUAGCCCGGGGAAACUCGGAUUAAUACCGCAUACGCCCUACGGGGGAAAGGAGGGGAUCUUCGGACCUUUCGCUAUCAGAUGAGCCUAUGUCGGAUUAGCUAGUUGGUGAGGUAAAGGCUCACCAAGGCGACGAUCCGUAACUGGUCUGAGAGGAUGAUCAGUCACACUGGAACUGAGACACGGUCCAGACUCCUACGGGAGGCAGCAGUGGGGAAUAUUGGACAAUGGGGGAAACCCUGAUCCAGCCAUGCCGCGUGUGCGAUGAAGGCCUCGG